AAUCAACGCUGGCGGCGUGCCUCAGACAUGCAAGUCGAACGAUUAAAGCUCCCUUCGGGGAGUGCAUAAAGUGGCGCACGGGUGAGUAACACGUAAGUAAUCUACCUUCGAGUGGGGAAU
RNAcentral lists this ribosomal RNA (120 nucleotides) under uncultured bacterium. Its description in RNAcentral is "partial 16S ribosomal RNA". It matches the Rfam family "Bacterial small subunit ribosomal RNA", at positions 32 to 144 of the family's 1533-position model. The record is from RNAcentral.